Molecule: long non-coding RNA, 2229 nt
Organism: Papaver somniferum (opium poppy)
Lineage: Eukaryota; Viridiplantae; Streptophyta; Magnoliopsida; Ranunculales; Papaveraceae
Exons: 3
Source: RefSeq, a predicted model, not a curated record
AUUUUUUUUAAAGCGAUAAUAAUCGACAGCGGCCCGCAAAUACGCAGAAAACAGAGUCAAUCAAGCUCGGUAUUCAAUGAUGGGUCUCGAAGCAUAGAAAAUCAUCAAGAUCAGAGUACAGUUUGUCUCUAUAUUUCUUUACAGAUAAUACUGCAACGACUCGAGCAAUCACUUCAAUGAAACAGAUCAUCACCUCUCAUAACAGUCGUCUCUCUUAACACUCUCGAAUCAAAGACGAGCACUUAUCAUUUUCAGUUGUUAGACUCGACAGUAUCUCUUUUUCACAACCAUCCCAUUUAGAACACAUAACACCAGCAAUCAAUACCACCAUUUCCGACCAAUCCAGCCAACAUACCGAUCUCCACAUUCAGUUGUCGCUGCCAGUCACCUCUUGUUCCACUUUCUUCUGAUCUCACCAUUAGAAACAAGACCAUGAAUCCAACAGCACAUUCAAACCAGCCAUAACCAAUGCCAUUGCUAAUUUCAGCGUCAGUUUCUUUUCUUCUUAAUGUCAUAAUCACUAAAUCCGUAUCAAUUCACAAUAUCAGCAGUUUUUCCCUGUAAAUCAAGAACAUGACCAAUUCUAUUCUCAAUAUUCAAUCCAAUAAAAACUCAUCUUUGAUUUAACAGAAGAAUCUUUAAUUUCUUCUCCUAAUCCUUCUCUGAGACUCUCACAGAAAACCCAAAAGUGGAAUCAGAUAAACCUGCUUCGCCUGAGCCCAAUUAUUCCACCACAGAGACCUAACACCACAUCAACGUAUGAACCCUAAUUUCUGAUUGAUUUUCUUUAAAACCUGUAUAACCAUCCAUACUUCAAUUAAGAAACAAGCCCAUCAUGAAUUGAUCAAUUUAACAUCAGUUUCGUAUCUAAACAUCAGCCAAUUGUAAACCCUAAUUUAACUUACCAUUUUUUUAAUUUUUCGUGAUUCGCAGCAGCAACAUCUCCUUCGGAAUUCAGAGAGAAUAAACCCACUUUCAUCUACGCAGCUUCACUAGUUGAUUCAGUCGUAUUAACUCGGAAGUUCAUCGCUCGAAAUCAAACAGGGAAAGAAAAGAAGGAGAAUAAUCUCACAGGAAAAGAAAAUAAGAUGAAGAAGAAGGAACACGAAGGAGAUAAGACACGGGAUGCAAAAAGGAUUUAUCAUUUUUGGGGGCCCUGGUAAUGAAUGCAUAAUAAUUCAAGGGAUGUGAAAAAAAUAAAUCAAAUCAAUAGCUAGACACGUCACCGUGUAACCGAAUCAACGCUGGUCUUUAAACUAAACACAAAGACUGGACAAAUAUUAGACCAAACAGAUUUUAGUCAAAAUUUAAGUACCGAAAACCAAAUAACCUUUUAUUUUAACCAAAACAAACUAUUACCUUUUGUUUUUCUUCUUUCUCCUUUCCCUUCAUUAAUAGUGCCUCACAUCCUCUACCACUAAUAAUAAUUUUUUCAAGUUUUUCUUUUUUGUUUCAGUCACACAAAUUGUCUGCAUCGUUUAGUAUUUUAUCAUGGGGAGGAAGAGAUUGAGAACCAACUCAUGCUCCUUAAUUUCAUUACGGUGGAGAUGAGAGUGAUUUAAGCUGAUGCCUAAUUCUAGUAUCUACUGCACGAAUCUUUUGGCUAAUUAAUCGGGUGCGGUUUCGACCUGACUCGGUUCAUCAUCUCCUACACCUGCGAUUACCGGGACGUGACCUAAAAUCUCUGUACUUUACUGUUUACCUCUGUUUCUUUCGAGAUUUUUUUUUUUUUUAGUUUACUUACCUCAGAGAAAUGAUGUUUGGAUUUUUGAGUUAUUUGUUGUUUCCUUAAAUUUAAUAGAUGCAUAAAUUGCUCAAAUUGCUCAUUUUUUGAACUUUUAAUUUUUUAUAUUUUGAACAAAUAUGAUAAUGAACCGAUUGAUUCUGAUCCAUACAAUGGAUAUUUUAGAGAAGAUUGAACUUAUAAUAUGUUUGUAUGAAUGUAUUCGAAAGAAAUUGGUGAUUAAUUUUAUUGACUACACUAGAUUUAACCUUAAUAUUUUGAAAAUGUUAUAUUCUCAAAUUUCAAAGUUAAAAUCAAAGUUGGUGUUUCUCUAUGAAGCAAUGAUAGUGGUGGUGCUGGUCUGGAGGAAUGAUAAAGGUGGUGCUGCAUCGGUGAUGGUGUUCUACGUGGUGGUGGUGUUGGUUACAGCGGAGGUGGUGGUGAAAGAAUAGCGUAGCAUAAAUGGUGGCAAAGGAAUUACAGAGAAAUCUAAGAGGAGGAAGAAG